Molecule: long non-coding RNA, 1396 nt
Organism: Salvia miltiorrhiza (redroot sage)
Lineage: Eukaryota; Viridiplantae; Streptophyta; Magnoliopsida; Lamiales; Lamiaceae
Exons: 3
Source: RefSeq, a predicted model, not a curated record
CAUAGCAAAAAUGAGAAAGAAGCUGAUAAUCCUGAGACGACAGAGUAUAGGCAUAUAGUGGAAGAUCUGCAAAGACUACUCCAAGAAUCGGACCGGCGUACGUGCAUAGCCUCAGACUUAUUCAAAGCUAUAGGAUGACAAGGAGAAAGAUGAGGGGGCGAAAAUUAAGCCAAAAAAAGAUUUGUGCACUGAACUGCCAAUGAAGCUACUUUCGAAGAAGAAAGAUACAGGUAACUUCACCAUUAAGUGUGAGAUUGGCAGAGAGCUCUUUCCCGAGGUUAUUUGUGAUUUAGGGGCUAGUGUCAAUGUGAUGCCCAUCUCUGUUUUCAAGCAUUUGAGAAUUGGAGAUCUCAAGCGACCUCGAUGGUGAUUCAGAUGGCGGACCGAUCAAGAGUGAAGCCGAGAGGCAAGCUUGAAUAGGGGUGGACCAAAAUAUCGAAAAAUCGGUAUACCGCACUUAUCGUAUCGAAAAUACCGAAUUUUUGGUAUACCAUAAAUUCUGGUACAACAUGGUACUGUACCGAAAAACUUUAGUACGAUAACGGUAUCAAUUUUCCUCAUACCCCGGUAUACCGAUAUAUACCGAUGCCGCGGAGGUUUUUGUUGAUCCAACGCGUGAUGAGAGCUUGAUAUUUGAGCUCCUCGACUUGAAGACGGACGUGGAAGAUCACAGAAGUGCCACGUGGUUUCUUCAAGACUAGGCUAAUGAGCAAGACGCUGAAGGAACAAUGGGGAUAUCUAAAGGGAAACAGGGAAUAGAUGCACAAAACCUAGUUAAGGUAGACUUGCCAUUUCUUCUUCUUAGAGAAUUGUCUCAAGGUAUUUGGUUUGACCUUUAAUGCACUAUAUUUCCAGAUUUAUCUAGCUAAUUUACAUCUUAAGGAUGUUGGCACAGAUGUUCUGAUUACUGCAUACGAGUCUGUAACGAUAAAGUAAGUAGAUCAUUUAUAACUGCCCCAGCGGUGGUAAGUGAAUACAGUUUUUAUCCCUCAACAUAUUGAUUCUAUCUCGGGUGCAAACUGCUUUGUGAUAUCUGCUCUUCUUCCCUAGCUCGUUUAUUCUCACAGCCCUUUGAGUAAAAGUGCUGCCAUAGUCGGGGCCAGCUUAGCCGUGCCUGCUGCACAAUCUGGAUGCACGCCAAUGGAGGAGGUCUUCAGAGGUGCAGUCUCGAGUUCCAAGGUGAACCACUGGAGCAAUUUUGGUGUCGUGGCUUGAAAAAGCCAUCUUGCUUGCUAUUGUGUGGUGAGCAAUGUUCACUCUCAUCCUGAGUUUAGUUUUUUGUAAUAAUCACAAUAUGAAUAGGCUUUUUAAUUGGUAUAUAGUGGCUUUAAGUUAUAGGAUAUGACAUUGAGGUAUUGUUAUAUCAUCAUUUCUCCUGUUUGUCUUUUAUCUACAA